Microplitis mediator is the source of this 2378-nucleotide long non-coding RNA. RefSeq lists it as uncharacterized. NCBI's taxonomy places the organism in Eukaryota, Metazoa, Arthropoda, Insecta, Hymenoptera, Braconidae. The record is from RefSeq and is a predicted model, not a curated record. The transcript has 3 exons.
UAGAACUGUUCAACAAUAACAAACUUCUAGGUUAUAUUUAUAUUUUAUAUGAACAUCCCCCAAUUCCCACAGUUUUUAAACACCGAUCCCAAUUAAUUUUAUCAGAUAAAUAAAUCAUGUGUACUACUUUCGUUAAAAAUAUACAAACAACUCCAAUAACAAGUAAAACAAUAUUUUCAAAUCAAUUUGGUAGUAAAUUAACUGAUGCUCACUUCGCUACCAGUAAUCUAAGAGACAAUGUCAGAUGAUGAGCAUACUGAUGUCAAGUUAGUAUUGGAUCGAGAUCUGUUGGCCGGAAGCCCAGAAUAUUAAAUCAAGAUGAAAUUGAAUGACCAGUAUCUUGUUCUAUGACUGCUGGUACUAUUGAGUAAUUUUUCAGAAAUAAGUGAUAGCAAACAACAAGAUAUUAAUACUUAUCAUUUAUCACCAAUUACUACAUUAUCGUAAUCCGAAGAUUAUGAAUUGGUCUUUGUUUGGGGGAAAAAUAAAAUGGGACAAGUUACUCAUGGAAGAAAAAGAUUAUCUAGACACGUGCUAUGUCCUGGUCAGAUUCAUGACUACACUCAAUGGACUUGCUGAUGAUUUAAUAAUAUAAUAUACUUUCAUAGAUAUCCAAGAGAGAAAUCGAUAUCAUGCCUGGAUGUAUCGUCUAAACAUUCUAGUAAAGAGAUAAAAUAUCGAGACUCUGAAUAAUCGCACGGAUUUUCAAUCAGUGAGCAACGAGUAAUUGAAUUUUGUCAGAUCCUGGUGAAAUUAAUUUUAAAAAUAAUUAAAUUUUUAACAGCAGUCAUUGAGAUGGGUUACGUUGGUAAAAUUGACCCUCAUUUAAAUGAAUUAUUAGAACAACACUAUAUUGAAACUUUUGGUAAUUGGUAAUUUCUUUGGUGGUAUAGAAUAUUUGAUGUAUGAACAAUAGGGUGAGCCAAAAAAAACAACCUAUCGAAUUUAUGUCUUAAAAAGGACCUAUAUAUCGAGAAAAAAAUUCUCCCAUUGGGCGAAAUUUUUAGCUCAAUUUUAAAAGGUGUCGGUAGUCAUUUGAAAUUUCCCAUUUAAAUAACAUGCAAGAAAAUUUUUUUUUAUUGAAAAUAUUAUAACUUUUGAACUGUGUGAAAUAAAAAUUCGGCUCUAGAAUAUUCUUGUAUGGCAUUAAAUUUCUUUAGAAUAAGUCCUGGGAGUCGAAUUUGUAAACUUGAUAUUUCGUAUACUAACAGGCCAUCAAAGUCUAGAGUAAAUAGAAUCAUACAAUGAGAAUACUACGAGAAAAUUUGUUCUACAUGUAGUGCAAUGAAAUCACCAUCAAUAUCCAUGUUGUAACAAAUAAUAUUUUGUUAUCGAUCACAAUAAAAGAAAAGUAUUUGGAAAAUCCAAAUAAAACCUUAAAUUUGUAUGAUUCUGUUUACUCUAGACUUUGAUAGCCUGUUAGUAUACGAAAUAUCAAGUUUACAAAUUCGACUCUUAGGACUUUCUUUUAAGAAAUUUAAUGCCCUACAAGAAUAUUCUAGAGCCGAAUUUUUGUCUCACAUGGUUCAAAAGUUAUAAUAUUUUUAAUAAAAAAAAAUUUUUUUGCAUGUUAUUUAAACGAGAAAUUUCAGAUGGCUACCGACACCUUUGAAAAUUGAGCUAAAAAUUUCGCCCAAUGGGGGAAUUUUUUCUCGAUAUAUAGGUCUUUUUUAAGACGUAAAUUAGAUAGAUUGGUUUUUUUGGCUCACCCUUUUUUAAUAUUUUGGAUAUCUAUCAGUAGUUGAUUUUUUUUAAUUUUUAGUUUUUACUUUUUGUAAUUGAUAUGUUGAAAAAAAAAUCCAAAAAUUGUAAUUGUCUGUUAACUUCAGGAUGGUUAAAACAUACUGAGUUAUUACGUUGAAGUACGACACCAAUUGCCUGAUUUUGACCAUAACAUCAGUUUCGUACACAUUAUUAUUGAUAUUUAAGUAGUAAUUAUGUUGUGUUCUGUUUUAUAUUCAUUGUAUUACAGCAAAUAAAUUUUUUGAAGAUCAUAAAAAGUCAAGGUGUAGAUUUUUAUUGUGAAUUAGCUAUAGGGCCAGCGGUCACUGUUUAUUUAAAAAAAAAAAAUAAACGAUUUAUAGUUUUCUAAUCAUUUGUAUUAACUAUAAAUCUUAAAAUACUUAAAAUCUAUAAAAUACUUGUAUUAUUUAAAUACAAAAGUUACGAUAAAUUUUUAUUUAAAAUUCAAUCGUAAUACAACUGAUUUAUUCAUAUGUUUUAAUUAUAUUUAUUUAUUAUUUGUUGAUGUUAAUUGAUUACAUUUUUAAUUUAAAAAAUUAUCGAUAAUGAACAAUCACGGGAAAAGUGUUUCAAAAAACUGACUCAUGAACUUUCAGAAAUUAUCUAAAUUUAAAUAAAUAUGGAUUGAUAUUAAA